UUUGUUUGUUGGAUCUCAUGGCUUACCCUGAGGUUCACUUAAUUAAUUAGUCUUCAUCUGUAACUGAUAAAGACUACCUCUACUUUUUUUUUUUUUAUUACUUUUUUUUAUUAACUUAAGUAUUUCUUAUUUACAUUUCGAGUGUUAUUCCCUUUCCCGGUUUCCGGGCCAACAUCCCCCUAACCCCUCCUCCUCCCCUUCUUUGUGGGUGUUCCCCUCCCCAUCUUCCCCCCAUUGCCGCCCUCCCCCCAACAAUCACGUUCACUGGGGGUUCAGUCUUAGCAGGACCCAGGGCUUCCCCUUCCACUGGUGAUCUUACUAGGAUAUUCAUUGCUACCUAUGGGGUCAGAGUCCAGGGUCAGUCCAUGUAUAGUCCUUAGGUAGUGGCUUAGUCCCUGGAAGCUCUGGUUGCUUGGCAUUGUUGUUCCUACCUCUACUUUUUAUGUUCCCCCAAGGUGUUUAUUGUGAACGCUGAUUCUCUCCUGAACGUUUGGUCCAUGUUUUAUUAAGAUCAGAGAAGAAGGCAGUUCAGACCAGAAGGUGGCUGUACGCCUUCAAUCCUAGGGUUUGGGAGGCAGAGGCAGGUCGAUCUUUGGGGUUAAGAAUAAAGAAGAGGUCUGGGGAAGGGGAUUCUGAACCUCAUAACUCCCUUCUUCACCCAGAAUUGAAAAGAGAGACAAAUACAGCCGAA
Molecule: long non-coding RNA, 691 nt
Filed under: Rattus norvegicus (Norway rat)
Lineage: Eukaryota; Metazoa; Chordata; Mammalia; Rodentia; Muridae
Description: long non-coding RNA NONRATT022733
Source: RNAcentral